Molecule: long non-coding RNA, 734 nt
Organism: Camelus dromedarius (Arabian camel)
Lineage: Eukaryota; Metazoa; Chordata; Mammalia; Artiodactyla; Camelidae
Exons: 4
Source: RefSeq, a predicted model, not a curated record
UAACGUGAGCUCUCCUUGGGCCUGGGAGAAAUUCUGAGAAUGACCCCUGAGAAUGAGCUCAGUGGUGAGAAGUCCAAGGACAGGAUGAGGUCGACAUUGCAAGUGUUUUUGGAAUAAGAAUCAACACACUUAAAGACUGGGAUUUGGAAGUGAGAAGGAGUACAUGGAAGUGAUUCAGGAAAACAAGGAAAUGAGACACAAGUGGCAACAUUUGUCAAAGUUCUAUGCAUUUGUUCCUUUGGAUUCAAGUGAAACAUCUGGAGUCAAUUCUUAACCCAAUGUUGGUUUGUUGUCACCAACCUCUUUGCCCUGCUAUUGACACCUUGUUCUAUUUGCCAUCUUCAGAAUUUUCUCUGGUCAGGUCUGCUAGCUGCCACUCCAACCAAAUUAUAGACUGAAUGUUUGAAUGUGUUCUCCAAAAUCCAUUUGAGGAAACUCCAACUACCAAUGUCCCAAUGUGCUUGGAAAUGGGGUUUGGGAGGGAUUAGAUAAUGAGUGUGGGGCCUUCAUGAAUCUAAUUAGUGCCUGUAUAACAAAAAAUCAUGAGAUUCCCUCUCUCUCUCUCUCUCCCUCCCUCUCUCUCUGUCUCUCUCUCUUCAACAUGCUAGGACACAGUAAGAACCUUGUCAUCUGUAAAGCUGUAAGAGGACCCUUACCAAGAAAAUAACAAUGCUGGCACAGUUCUUUUGGAAUUUCAGCCUCCAGAACUGGGAGAAAUAAAUGUUUGUUUUGUA